UCCGGAGGGGGCUAGCGUUGUUCGGAAUUACUGGGCGUAAAGCGCACGUAGGCGGCUUUGUAAGUUAGAGGUGAAAGCCCGGGGCUCAACUCCGGAAUUGCCUUUAAGACUGCAUCGCUAGAAUUGUGGAGAGGUAAGUGGAAUUCCAGGUGUAGCGGUGAAAUGCGUAGAUAUCUGGAGGAACACCGGUGGCGAAGGCGGCAUCCUGGACCGGUAUUGACGCUGAGGCGCGAAAGCUAGGGGAGCAAACGGG
RNAcentral lists this ribosomal RNA (253 nucleotides) under uncultured bacterium. RNAcentral's name for it is "partial 16S ribosomal RNA". It matches the Rfam family "Bacterial small subunit ribosomal RNA", at positions 524 to 776 of the family's 1533-position model. The record is from RNAcentral.